AGUCCGGAGCGCGGCGGCUCUCCUCUCCGAGCGGGGCGUCUUUCACGUUUGGCCCCGUGGAAGGCGGGGGGAACGACCACGACGCCGGAACCUCCCGCUCGGGGCUCGGCAAGCGCAUGCGCGUUCCUCCGCCCGCAACCUCAGCUGGCAGGAGGAAGAGCGGAGGGGGUGGAGCCACGGACCCUUCGCCCAAUCAGGAGGCGCCCAGUCGCUCGAAGUCCGGCCCCCUCCGUCUCUCCGCCCGCAGCGCGUGAGGUGGCGGCGGCGGCGGCGGCGGCGGCGGGCAGGGGGCGUUUCGAGGGCUCGCGGGAGGAGGUCGCCCAGUCGCCGCCUCCCUCGCCCUCCUUCUCGUCAUCGGCGGCCACAAUGUCCGAAGGCGACGCCAAGCAGGCCACCGGCAGCGGCGGCGGCGGCGGCGUCCCCCCCCCUUCCGCUCCCCGAUGCCGCAGCGUCCCGGACCGGGGCUUGGCCUCCCUUCCUUUCUUCAAGGCUUCUUGGCUGCCCCAGGGUUCCGUGAGCCAGAAGGAGGAGGCGGAACCACCUGGCUCUAGUCCAGGAAAAGAGGAGGGCGGCAGCUAA
RNAcentral lists this long non-coding RNA (579 nucleotides) under Pogona vitticeps (central bearded dragon). RNAcentral's name for it is "lncRNA (ENSPVIG00000013261.1)". Lineage: Eukaryota; Metazoa; Chordata; Lepidosauria; Squamata; Agamidae. The record is from RNAcentral.